UACCUACCGGAUAGAAUGUCGUUAAAAUAUAACUGUUCAUUCAUUAUCGCGCUUCUAGCAAUACCCGCCCACCCAUAUUUAAGGUGUUGCUCGAGCAACACUUGAACCCUAGGGUACACGCCACUGCAGAGAUAUACUGAACCGUCCGAAUACGCGUAAAUGAAAUGCAUAUACUAUAUUGUUCCGACAUCGCAUUCCCGUUCACCCGGAACAAGGAACACAAAAAUGAUUAUCGAACGCGAUGUGUGGU
Molecule: non-coding RNA, 250 nt
Organism: Cinara cedri
Lineage: Eukaryota; Metazoa; Arthropoda; Insecta; Hemiptera; Aphididae
Source: the annotation of a GenBank genome assembly